AACGAACGCUGGCGGCAUGCUUAACACAUGCAAGUCGAACGAGAUCUUCGGAUCUAGUGGCGCACGGGUGCGUAACGCGUGGGGAUCUACCAUAGGGUACGGAAUAACUCAGAGAAAUUUGUGCUAAUACCGUAUAAUGUCGCAAGACCAAAGAUUUAUCGCCCUUUGAUGAACCCGCGUAAGAUUAGCUAGUUGGUGUGGUAAAGGCUCACCAAGGCGACGAUCUUUAGCUGGUCUGAGAGGAUGAUCAGCCACACUGGGACUGAGACACGGCCCAG
This 278-nucleotide ribosomal RNA is filed under the name uncultured bacterium. RNAcentral's name for it is "partial 16S ribosomal RNA". It matches the Rfam family "Bacterial small subunit ribosomal RNA", at positions 29 to 334 of the family's 1533-position model. The record is from RNAcentral.